GACUACUGGGGUAUCUAAUCCUGUUUGCUCCCCACGCUUUCGCACCUCAGCGUCAGUAUCGAGCCAGUGAGCCGCCUUCGCCACUGGUGUUCCUCCGAAUAUCUACGAAUUUCACCUCUACACUCGGAAUUCCACUCACCUCUCUCGAACUCAAGACUGGGAGUUUUGAAGGCAGUUCCAAGGUUGAGCCCUGGGAUUUCACCUCCAACUUUCCAGUCCGCCUACGUGCGCUUUACGCCCAGUAAUUCCGAACAACGCUAGCCCCCUCCGUAUUACCGCGGCUGCUGGCACGGAGUUAGCCGGGGCUUCUUCUGGGGGUACAGUCAUUAUCUUCCCCCCUGAAAGAUCUUUACAACCCUAAGGCCUUCAUCGAUCACGCGGCAUGGCUAGAUCAGGCUUGCGCCCAUUGUCCAAGAUUCCCCACUGCAGCCCCCCGUAGG
Molecule: ribosomal RNA, 440 nt
Filed under: uncultured Paracoccaceae bacterium
Lineage: Bacteria; Pseudomonadati; Pseudomonadota; Alphaproteobacteria; Rhodobacterales; Paracoccaceae
Description: uncultured Rhodobacteraceae bacterium partial 16S ribosomal RNA
Source: RNAcentral